RNAcentral lists this ribosomal RNA (253 nucleotides) under uncultured bacterium. Its description in RNAcentral is "partial 16S ribosomal RNA". It matches the Rfam family "Bacterial small subunit ribosomal RNA", at positions 524 to 776 of the family's 1533-position model. The record is from RNAcentral.
UACGGAGGGUGCGAGCGUUGUCCGGAAUCAUUGGGCGUAAAGCGCGUGUAGGCGGCCCGGUAAGUCCGCUGUGAAAGUCCAGGGCUCAACCCUGGGAUGCCGGUGGAUACUGUCGGGCUCGAGUCCGGAAGAGGCGAGUGGAAUUCCUGGUGUAGCGGUGAAAUGCGCAGAUAUCAGGAGGAACACCAAUGGCGAAGGCAGCUCGCUGGGACGUGACUGACGCUGAGACGCGAAAGCGUGGGGAGCAAACAGG